Molecule: ribosomal RNA, 253 nt
Filed under: uncultured bacterium
Lineage: Bacteria
Description: partial 16S ribosomal RNA
Rfam family: Bacterial small subunit ribosomal RNA
Source: RNAcentral
UACAGAGGUCCCAAGCGUUGUUCGGAUUCACUGGGCGUAAAGGGUGCGUAGGUGGCGGGGUAAGUUUGAGGUGAAAUCUCCGAGCUUAACUCGGAAACUGCCUUGAAUACUAUCUCGCUAGAGGGUUGGAGGGGGGACUGGAAUUCUCGGUGUAGCAGUGAAAUGCGUAGAUAUCGAGAGGAACACCAGUGGCGAAGGCGAGUCCCUGGACAACUCCUGACACUGAGGCACGAAAGCUAGGGGAGCAAACAGG